RNAcentral lists this unclassified non-coding RNA (291 nucleotides) under fungal sp. RNAcentral's name for it is "partial internal transcribed spacer region". The stretch from base 1 to 46 matches the Rfam family "Eukaryotic small subunit ribosomal RNA", at positions 1786 to 1831 of the family's 1831-position model. Lineage: Eukaryota; Fungi. The record is from RNAcentral.
AAGUCGUAACAAGGUAUCCGUAGGUGAACCUGCGGAUGGAUCAUUAUCACGUUAUCCACGUAUCAACCAUUGUGAACUAGUACCUUUACCUUUGUUUUGAGAUGGAAUUGUAUGAAGGAAACUUUAUACGUUCUGUUUUAAAACAAUUGUAUUUCAAUUCAUUUAUUAACUAUUUAAACAAUAUUUAAAUAAUUAACUAUUGAACUGAAACAUUCUUUACUCUCUUCGGGGAGAAAGAAUAAAAAUUACGAAACAUAAGAACAACUCUUAGCAACGGAUAUCUUGGUUCUC